RNAcentral lists this microRNA (21 nucleotides) under Picea abies (Norway spruce). RNAcentral's name for it is "pab-miR11580". Lineage: Eukaryota; Viridiplantae; Streptophyta; Pinopsida; Pinales; Pinaceae. The record is from miRBase by way of RNAcentral.
UUUGGAUUAUUGGGUUGCAUC